ACCAGACUCCUACGGGAGGCAGCAGUGGGGAAUAUUGCACAAUGGGGGAAACCCUGAUGCAGCGACGCCGCGUGAGUGAAGAAGUAAUUCGUUAUGUAAAGCUCUAUCAGCAGGGAAGAAAAUGACGGUACCUGAGUAAGAAGCCCCGGCUAACUACGUGCCAGCAGCCGCGGUAAUACGUAGGGGGCAAGCGUUAUCCGGAUUUACUGGGUGUAAAGGGAGCGUAGACGGCAUGGCAAGUCAGAUGUGAAAGCCCGGGGCUCAACCCCGGGACUGCAUUUGAAACUGUCAGGCUGGAGUGCAGGAGAGGUAAGUGGAAUUCCUAGUGUAGCGGUGAAAUGCGUAGAUAUUAGGAGGAACACCGGUGGCGAAGGCGGCCUGCUGGACUGCGACUGACGUUGAGGCCCGAAAGCGUGGGGAGCAAACAGGAUUAGAUACCCGUGUAU
Molecule: ribosomal RNA, 446 nt
Filed under: uncultured bacterium
Lineage: Bacteria
Description: bacterial SSU rRNA
Rfam family: Bacterial small subunit ribosomal RNA
Source: RNAcentral